UACGUAGGGUGCGAGCGUUGUCCGGAAUUAUUGGGCGUAAAGAGCUCGUAGGCGGUUUGUUGCGUCUAUCGUGAAAACCUGCAGCUUAACUGUGGGCUUGCGGUGGAUACGGGCAGACUUGAGUUCGGUAGGGGAGACUGGAAUUCCUGGUGUAGCGGUGAAAUGCGCAGAUAUCAGGAGGAACACCGGUGGCGAAGGCGGGUCUCUGGACAGUUCCUGACGCUGAGGCACGAAGGUCAGGGGAGCAAACGGG
RNAcentral lists this ribosomal RNA (253 nucleotides) under uncultured bacterium. RNAcentral's name for it is "partial 16S ribosomal RNA". It matches the Rfam family "Bacterial small subunit ribosomal RNA", at positions 524 to 776 of the family's 1533-position model. The record is from RNAcentral.